This 482-nucleotide ribosomal RNA is filed under the name uncultured bacterium. Its description in RNAcentral is "partial 16S ribosomal RNA". It matches the Rfam family "Bacterial small subunit ribosomal RNA", at positions 28 to 523 of the family's 1533-position model. The record is from RNAcentral.
GACGAACGCUGGCGGCGUGCUUAACACAUGCAAGUCGAACGAUGAAACCUAGCUUGCUAGGUCGAUUAGUGGCGAACGGGUGAGUAACACGUGACUAACCUGCCCCUUUCUCUGGGAUAACGCUUCGAAAGGAGUGCUAAUACCGGAUACUCACAUCGAGGCACAUGCCUUGAUGUGGAAAGUUUUUCGGAAAGGGAUGGAGUCGCGGCCUAUCAGCUUGUUGGUGAGGUAACGGCUCACCAAGGCGACGACGGGUAGCCGGGCUGAGAGGGCGACCGGCCACACUGGGACUGAGACACGGCCCAGACUCCUACGGGAGGCAGCAGUGGGGAAUAUUGCACAAUGGGCGCAAGCCUGAUGCAGCGACGCCGCGUGAGGGAUGAAGGUCUUCGGAUUGUAAACCUCUUUCAGUAGGGACGAAGCGAAAGUGACGGUACCUAAAGAAGAAGCACCGGCUAACUACGUGCCAGCCGCCGCGGUAA